Non-coding RNA from Triticum urartu, 1645 nucleotides. Lineage: Eukaryota; Viridiplantae; Streptophyta; Magnoliopsida; Poales; Poaceae. The record is from Rfam.
GAGGUAUCAGAAGUGCGAAUGCUGACAUGAGUAGCGUUAAAGCGGGUGAAAAGCCCGCUCGCCGUAAGCGCAAGGUUUUCUACGCAACGUUCAUCGGCGUAGAGUAAGUCGGCCCCUAAGGUGAGGCAGAGAUGCGUAACUGAUGGGAAACGGGUCAAUAUUCCCGUACCGAUGUGUAGUGCGAUGUGGGGACGAAGAAGGUUAGCUCAGCCAACUGUUGGAUAUGUUGGUUCAAGCCUGUAGUCGUGCUCGGUAGGCAAAUCCGCCGGGCUAAGAUGAGGGGUGAUAACGGGUCUGCUUGCAGACGAAGUGAGUGAUACCCAGCUUCCAGGAAAAGCCACUAAGCUUCAGCUACACACGACCGUACCGCAAACCGACACUGGUGCGCGAGAUGAGUAUUCUAAGGCGCUUGAGAGAACUCAGGAGAAGGAACUCGGCAAAUUGACACCGUAACUUCGGGAGAAGGUGUGCCCUCAGUAAGUGAAGUUGUACAAACGGAGCUAAACGGGGUUGCAAAGAAUAGGUGGCUGCGACUGUUUAAUAAAAACACAGCACUCUGCAAACACGAAAGUGGACGUAUAGGGUGUGACGCCUGCCCGGUGCUGGAAGAUUAAAUGAUGGGGUGCAAGCUCUUGAUUGAAGUCCCAGUAAACGGCGGCCGUAACUAUAACGGUCCUAAGGUAGCGAAAUUCCUUGUCGGGUAAGUUCCGACCUGCACGAAUGGCGUAACGAUGGCCACACUGUCUCCUCCUGAGACUCAGCGAAGUUGAAAUGUUUGUGAUGAUGCAAUCUCCCCGCGGAAAGACGGAAAGACCCCAUGAACCUUUACUGUAGCUUUGUAUUGGACUUUGAACAGAUCUGUGUAGGAUAGGUGGGAGGCUUUGAAGUGAGGAUGCUAGUUCUCAUGGAGCCAACGUUGAAAUACCACCCUGGUGUGUUUGAGGUUCUAACCUUGGUCCAUUAUCUGGAUCGGGGACAGUGCAUGGUAGGCAGUUUGACUGGGGCGGUCUCCUCCCAAAGCGUAACGGAGGAGUUCGAAGGUACGCUCGGACAUCGCGCACUGUGUGCAAAGGCAUAAGCGUGCUUGACUGCAAGAUCGACGGAUCAAGCAGGUAGGAAACUAGGACUUAGUGAUCCGGUGGUUCUGUAUGGAAGGGCCAUCGCUCAACGGAUAAAAGGUACUCCGGGGAUAACAGGCUGAUACCGCCCAAGAGUUCAUAUCGACGGCGGUGUUUGGCACCUCGAUGUCGGCUCAUCUCAUCCUGGGGCUGUAGUCGGUCCCAAGGGUAUGGCUGUUCGCCAUUUAAAGAGGUACGUGAGCUGGGUUUAAAACGUCGUGAGACAGUUUGGUCCCUAUCUUCCGUGGGCGCUGCAGAUUUGAGGAAGCCUGCUCCUAGUACGAGAGGACCGGAGUGGACACACCUCUGGUGUAUCGGUUGUCACGCCAGUGGCAUUGCCGAGUAGCUAUGUGUGGAAGAGAUAACCGCUGAAAGCAUCUAAGCGGGAAACUCGUUCCAAGAUGAGAUCUGCCGGGGGCUUGACCCCCCUGAAGAGUCGUUCUAGACCAGGACGUUGAUAGGUUGGGUGUGGAAGCGCAGCAAUGCGUUAAGCUAACCAAUACUAAUUGCUCGUGCGGCUUGACCCU